RNAcentral lists this long non-coding RNA (493 nucleotides) under Helianthus annuus (common sunflower). RNAcentral's name for it is "Eukaryotic small subunit ribosomal RNA". The stretch from base 215 to 493 matches the Rfam family "Bacterial small subunit ribosomal RNA", at positions 563 to 850 of the family's 1533-position model. The record is from RNAcentral. Lineage: Eukaryota; Viridiplantae; Streptophyta; Magnoliopsida; Asterales; Asteraceae.
UGUAUCUAAAGUAGCCUAAUCUUGAUUCGAGAUAACCGGCGAUUAACCUGCAACAUACGUUAAAAUAAUGUCAAUACAAAAAAAUGUAUUGGCGAGUAUACAGGUUUGACAUAGUAGUAAAAUAGGUAAAAGCGUUGCGAACUUCCACAUACAUAAACGAGUUGAAAGUGUUGUUGAACCGCUUGUUUGAUUGUGUGGCUUUCGCCUCCGGAUCAAGGGCACGUAGGCGGUGAAUCGGGUUGAAAGUGAAAGUCGCCAAAAAGUGGUGGAAUGCUCUGGAAACCAAUUCACUUGAGUGAGACAGAGGAGAGUGGAAUUUCGUGUGUAGGGGUGAAAUCCGUAAAUAUACGAAGGAACGCCAAAAGCGAAGGUAGCUCUUUGGGUCCCUACCGACGCUGGGGUGCGAAAGCAUGGGGAGCGAACAGGAUUAGAUACCCUGGUAGUCCAUGCCGUAAAAAUAUACUAACUAGACAAUCACUCAAGCUAAGUCCCG